UGAGGCUGGAGAGUGAUUUCCUUCAGGGCUUCAGUGGAAGAGGGCGACAGAAGUAUGGCAACAGACACCCAGACUGCCUGGACAGUCCACAAGCCCCUAGUUCCAGACGUAGACACUACAAGAUGACAUCACUCGGCUAAGGUCACACAGUUUCUGGGGCCAGUGUCCUGCUUUGCCUUUGUGAAGAAGAGGGAAGCUGCCCUACACUUCUCUCAAGAGAAAACGAGCUGAUGUCAGGGAUCCUUUCAAGAAAGCAGAUUUCAGGGCCAUUGCUGACAUCACUACCCAUUCAGCAAAAUGUCCCAAAGUGAAACAGAAGAUCCAGAAGAACAGGGUUUCAUUUUGUUUGGAGUUGGAUUCCCAGACCC
This is a long non-coding RNA of Fukomys damarensis (Damara mole-rat), 368 nucleotides long. RefSeq lists it as uncharacterized. Lineage: Eukaryota; Metazoa; Chordata; Mammalia; Rodentia; Bathyergidae. The transcript is spliced from 3 exons. The record is from RefSeq and is a predicted model, not a curated record.